Molecule: long non-coding RNA, 1098 nt
Filed under: Anser cygnoides (Swan goose)
Lineage: Eukaryota; Metazoa; Chordata; Aves; Anseriformes; Anatidae
Description: lncRNA (ENSACDG00005008743.1)
Source: RNAcentral
AUGUCUCUGUGUUCGGAGCUUGGUUCUUGCUCUCAGCACCUGGCAGAGGGUGCAAGGCUCUGCCUGGGCCGUGGAGCAGUUGCUCGCGGCGUGCAGGAUCCCCCCCAGACCUGUGUGCACCUCAGCCCCUGCCAGGCUGGGGGCUGCGGUCAGCCUCAGCCUGCCUAUUACUGCUCCAUCCAAUUAAAUAUUGAUGGCAGUGUUUGGAGAAGCGCUCAGGCGUCACAGCAGACUCCAGAGAAAACAAAAAUCCAUCGUGCUCUCACCAUGUCUCCUCUCACAGAUAUCUUCUUCCCUGAUCCCCUACUGGGGAGGGGGGGGCUGAAGCGCUAUGAAGGGGCUGAGCACCACAUGCAGCAUGAAGCUGCUUUCCCCCUUUCUUCCUACCUUCAGAGGCAGCGGGGGGGUUGCUGUGCACCCUCCUCCCUGCCUUCUCUGCUGCCACAGCCCGGGCAAGGCUGGCUCUGUUGCUGUCUCCAGGCCGGUGUUCAGGACAAGAGCAGCAGCAGCCAGAUUCAGCCCAGCAUUCCCACUAUCCCAAUGAAAUGCCAGGGUUUUCCCCCGCAUCAGGGAAACUGGGGAAGAGAUUCAGAAGAAGGGGGUCCCAGCCCGGCCCCAUGCACUGAACAGCUGAAUCGUCCUGCUCUGACACCUCCCCACAGCACCCUGUCUACGGACACCCUGUUCCCUAAGCGCCACCUCCAUCCCGGUGGGCCUGUGCCCUCUGUUCCAUGGAAGCCACCGAGACGGCAGCACGGCCACCGGUGUCCCCUUCCAGGCUCCAUCAACCUCAGCCCAACCUGCCCCUGCUUUCCUCAGCCACGGGGAGGAGGUGUCCCCGGGGGAGACCUUAAAUACCUGCAAGGUGAGGGUCGGACCCCUGGCUGGAUCCAGUGUGUCCAGAGAAGGGACGGAAGACUGCGGCAGGGGAAGGCAGAGGUGUGGGGGGGCUUCACUGAGGUGGGAGGUGUUUGCUUCCCAUCCAGAGCUUGGAGGCCACCAUUUUCCAGAUGGGAAGCAGGGAGCAGGGGAUGCCUACACCGAGGUCGUGCUUGUCCUGGAGACCCGAGGAAGCUGGGCCACCCUCCACACACUUAA